This 332-nucleotide ribosomal RNA is filed under the name uncultured eukaryote. RNAcentral describes it as "partial 18S ribosomal RNA". It matches the Rfam family "Eukaryotic small subunit ribosomal RNA", at positions 1470 to 1796 of the family's 1831-position model. The record is from RNAcentral.
CCCUUAGAUGUUCUGGGCUGCAUACGUGCUACACUGGCAGGUUCAGCGAGCUUCAUGCCCUGAUCUGAAAGGAAUGGGAAAUCUUUUCAAAACCUGCCGUGCUUGGGAUAGAUGUUUGCAAUUAUUCAUCUUCAACGAGGAUUGCCUUGUAAGCGCACGUCAUCAGCGUGCAUUGAAUACGACCCUGUAUUCUGUACACACCGCCCGUCGCUCCUACCGAUUGAAGUUUUCGGUGAGUUGACAGGAGGAUUUUUUUGAAACUGGUUCGCCAGUGGAUUUUAGAUCCAAAUGCCAACGAAUCGAUGGCUUUAGAGGAAGGAGAAGUCGUAACA